UUAGAAAGAAAAUGUUGUUAGC
RNAcentral lists this microRNA (22 nucleotides) under Lotus japonicus. RNAcentral describes it as "lja-miR7544". Lineage: Eukaryota; Viridiplantae; Streptophyta; Magnoliopsida; Fabales; Fabaceae. The record is from miRBase by way of RNAcentral.